This 742-nucleotide ribosomal RNA is filed under the name Klebsiella oxytoca. RNAcentral's name for it is "bacterial SSU rRNA". It matches the Rfam family "Bacterial small subunit ribosomal RNA", at positions 1 to 739 of the family's 1533-position model. Lineage: Bacteria; Pseudomonadati; Pseudomonadota; Gammaproteobacteria; Enterobacterales; Enterobacteriaceae. The record is from RNAcentral.
UUNNGAGUUUGAUCCUGGCUCAGAUUGAACGCUGGCGGCAGGCCUAACACAUGCAAGUCGAACGGUAGCACAGAGAGCUUGCUCUCGGGUGACGAGUGGCGGACGGGUGAGUAAUGUCUGGGAAACUGCCUGAUGGAGGGGGAUAACUACUGGAAACGGUAGCUAAUACCGCAUAACGUCGCAAGACCAAAGAGGGGGACCUUCGGGCCUCUUGCCAUCAGAUGUGCCCAGAUGGGAUUAGCUAGUAGGUGGGGUAACGGCUCACCUAGGCGACGAUCCCUAGCUGGUCUGAGAGGAUGACCAGCCACACUGGAACUGAGACACGGUCCAGACUCCUACGGGAGGCAGCAGUGGGGAAUAUUGCACAAUGGGCGCAAGCCUGAUGCAGCCAUGCCGCGUGUAUGAAGAAGGCCUUCGGGUUGUAAAGUACUUUCAGCGGGGAGGAAGGNNNUAAGGUUAAUAACCUUGUUGAUUGACGUUACCCGCAGAAGAAGCACCGGCUAACUCCGUGCCAGCAGCCGCGGUAAUACGGAGGGUGCAAGCGUUAAUCGGAAUUACUGGGCGUAAAGCGCACGCAGGCGGUCUGUCAAGUCGGAUGUGAAAUCCCCGGGCUCAACCUGGGAACUGCAUUCGAAACUGGCAGGCUGGAGUCUUGUAGAGGGGGGUAGAAUUCCAGGUGUAGCGGUGAAAUGCGUAGAGAUCUGGAGGAAUACCGGUGGCGAAGGCGGCCCCNUGACAAAAG